This 2040-nucleotide long non-coding RNA is filed under the name Homo sapiens (human). RNAcentral describes it as "HSALNT0306722". The record is from RNAcentral. Lineage: Eukaryota; Metazoa; Chordata; Mammalia; Primates; Hominidae.
CCCUGGCUCCUGCAGCUGCCCUUCUGUGUGCUCCCCCUCCCAUAAGGGGUUUGAGCAUGGUGGCCGAACAGAUGAGCCACACCCAUUGCACAUCCUGCGAGGGGGGUCAGAGAACUCUCCCAUUCCAAUUUUAAAAUUUUACAUACAUGCAGCAACAGUAUAAUGUAUGCCUAGACCUACAUUGGGCACACCUCAAUUCAGAAGUAUCACAUAUCAACAUUCAGUCAACUUCUUCCCAAUAAUCACACACCAUGAAAUUCAGCACUGUUGACAGGAAGUUUUCUCUUAUCUUGGGACUUCCUGCAAAUUUCUGGAGAGCAGAUUUUUAAAAAACUAUCUAGAGCUAAUAAGAUCUAAACCUGAGGCCUUGCUGACAGAAUCAGAUUAUUCAAUGGACUAAAAGGCUGAAUGGUGAGACGCAGGCUGGUCAAGAAGCCCUGCAAUUUUGGAAGCUGCAGCUUCAGCAACAGAAACACAAGGGAGAAUUCAAAUACUGCUGUCAAAUGCUCCAACAUUUCUCGAGAACUCAUAGCUCAUAGCUCAUGAGUUGAUGGAGGAGAAAAAGACUGCUCAGCUUUUCAUUAUUUCUCUUCAACAGAUUAACCAAUUACACAUAUAGAAACCACCACAAUCUAGCUAAGUGCUCUUCAGGGCUACAUGCUAUGAAAUUUCUGAAGGAUACCUGUUUCACUCUGGACAGGAAGAAAACAACAAUGAGAGUGGUCACAACCCACUGCACCAAGAGAAACAUUCUGCACUCAGUGACUGCUGCUUCCUUCAGCCUUAGGAAACUUCCCGUCUUGUGAAGGGUAUCUGGGCAAAGACUCCUGAUCCUCUUGAAAGAAUGCUAGAAAAUAUGUGAAGAAUGGGUACAGCAGAGAGAAACUAGGGACUAUGCCAACAGAUACGUGAGGCAUUAUAUUGUCCACACAAUAAAGUAGCAAGAAAAAUUAGUUCCUGAAGAACAAUCCUUACAGCUUCCUGAAGACCAAUCAUUAUGGCCUUUUAUUUCCCAUUUAUUUCCCCAUAUUGCAAUGUCAGUUAUUUCCUCCUCUCCUUGUUUCCAAAUGUGACCUAUAAAAUUUUGUUUUUCUGAAGGAGAAUCACUCUGAGACGAAUUCAUUAGAUAGUUACUGCAAGCUUCAAAAUGCAGUAUUUUUAAGCAUGGCUUACAUUUCUUGGGCAUGUGUUCUCCGAAUGUCUUUGAAACAAAAGCAGAAAGUCCCUCAAAUUUUUAUAUCUUAAACUACAAUUAAUUAGCUUUAUCUCUAAAUUUUAAAAAAUGCACCAUUAAUAUAAAGCAUAUCAACACAAAUUUUACCAAGAAGUAUAAUUUCACAUAUUAGUAUAAGACAGACUCAUCUAUUUAAAAGACUAUAAUUGACAGAAGCACUUAGUCUGACUAAGCAUAUUAGCAUUCAAUGCAAGCAAAUGUUAUGAACCAGAUUUUAGCAAAUUUGAACAAAUCACAGCAUAUUUUACAUAAUGAUAAUAACAGCAUUUGAGACUCUCUGAUUAAUUUUAAGCUCUCUACACAGAUCAGACUAGUGGAUGUGUCAUUGUUUUGUGGUAUCCAAAGAAAGGAAAUAAGAUUUUAUUUUCACUUAUAAAAAGAAAAAUAAUUUGAAAGUGUGGUUUAUUGAUGGCUAAGGCUGUAUGAGCAGGUAUAUUUUGAUCUAAGCAGUUAACAUGGCUAUGAAAUGUAAUUCCAUAAAAGUUGGUCCCUGCUUUUAAAUUCACCUUUUAAAAUUUUGUGGCCUCUUAUACUUAUGGAAAGCAGUAUCUACUCUAUUAGGUGAAAAAAGCAUGGCACUACUACCACCUACAAAAUGGUAGGCAGAGCAAAAACAAGUGUACAUAUAAUAAACACAUAUGCAUACAUACGUUAAAAGAACAUACCAAAAUCCUAAAAAAAUUUUUUAAGUUAAUUUUAAAGAAGGAGGGAAUAGGGCAGAACAAGGAAAGAAGCUAGCCUUGUUUGAAUUGUCUUUGUUUACAUUUUUUACUUUAAAACACUUUAUUUACAUAAUUUAUAAAACA